RNAcentral lists this ribosomal RNA (253 nucleotides) under uncultured bacterium. Its description in RNAcentral is "partial 16S ribosomal RNA". It matches the Rfam family "Bacterial small subunit ribosomal RNA", at positions 524 to 776 of the family's 1533-position model. The record is from RNAcentral.
UACGAAGGGGGCUAGCGUUGCUCGGAAUCACUGGGCGUAAAGCGCACGUAGGCGGCUUACUAAGUCAGGGGUGAAAUCCUGGAGCUCAACUCCAGAACUGCCUUUGAUACUGGUGAGCUUGAGUUCGGGAGAGGUGAGUGGAACUGCGAGUGUAGAGGUGAAAUUCGUAGAUAUUCGCAAGAACACCAGUGGCGAAGGCGGCUCACUGGCUCGAUACUGACGCUGAGGUGCGAAAGCGUGGGGAGCAAACAGG